This 115-nucleotide ribosomal RNA is filed under the name Danio rerio (zebrafish). Lineage: Eukaryota; Metazoa; Chordata; Actinopteri; Cypriniformes; Danionidae. The record is from RNAcentral.
CUCGGCAGCUAGCUCUCUGCAACUCUCACAUGGUCACCCACUGAAGCUAAGCAGGGCUGCGCCUGGUCAAUACCUGGAUGGUAGACCACAUGGGAAAGCUAGGUUGCUGCUGAAA